RNAcentral lists this ribosomal RNA (1096 nucleotides) under Podospora costaricensis. RNAcentral's name for it is "eukaryotic LSU rRNA". It matches the Rfam family "Eukaryotic large subunit ribosomal RNA", at positions 29 to 1155 of the family's 3401-position model. Lineage: Eukaryota; Fungi; Ascomycota; Sordariomycetes; Sordariales; Podosporaceae. The record is from RNAcentral.
UGAACUUAAGCAUAUCAAUAAGCGGAGGAAAAGAAACCAACAGGGAUUGCCCCAGUAACGGCGAGUGAAGCGGCAACAGCUCAAAUUUGAAAUCUGGCUUCGGCCCGAGUUGUAAUUUGUAGAGGAAGCUUUUGGCAAGGCACCGACUGAGUCCCCUGGAACGGGGCGCCAUAGAGGGUGAGAGCCCCGUAUAGUCGGACGCUGAGCCUCUGUAAAGCUCCUUCGACGAGUCGAGUAGUUUGGGAAUGCUGCUCAAAAUGGGAGGUAAAUUUCUUCUAAAGCUAAAUAUUGGCCAGAGACCGAUAGCGCACAAGUAGAGUGAUCGAAAGAUGAAAAGCACUUUGAAAAGAGGGUUAAAUAGCACGUGAAAUUGUUGAAAGGGAAGCGCUUGUGACCAGACUUGCGCCUGGCCGAUCAUCCGGGGUUCUCCCCGGUGCACUCGGCCAGGCUCAGGCCAGCAUCGGUUCUCUUGGGGGGACAAAGGUCCCGGGAACGUAGCUCUCUACGGGGAGUGUUAUAGCCCGGGGCGUAAUGCCCUCGAGGGGACCGAGGACCGCGCUUCGGCAAGGAUGCUGGCGUUACGGUCAUCAGCGACCCGUCUUGAAACACGGACCAAGGAGUCAAGGUUUUGCGCGAGUGUUUGGGUGUAAAACCCGCACGCGUAAUGAAAGUAAACGUAGGUGAGAGCUUCGGCGCAUCAUCGACCGGCCCAGAUGUUCUCGGAAGGGCCUGAGUAGGAGCGUUAAGCCUUGGACCCGAAAGAUGGUGAACUAUGCUUGGAUAGGGUGAAGCCAGAGGAAACUCUGGUGGAGGCUCGCAGCGGUUCUGACGUGCAAAUCGAUCGUCAAAUCUGAGCAUGGGGGCGAAAGACUAAUCGAACCAUCUAGUAGCUGGUUACCGCCGAAGUUUCCCUCAGGAUAGCAGUGUUGUUCUUCAGUUUUAUGAGGUAAAGCGAAUGAUUAGGGACUCGGGGGCGCUUUUUAGCCUUCAUCCAUUCUCAAACUUUAAAUAUGUAAGAAGCCCUUGUUACUUAAUUGAACGUGGGCAUUCGAAUGUACCAACACUAGUGGGCCAUUUUUGGUAAGCAGAACUGGCG